RNAcentral lists this ribosomal RNA (208 nucleotides) under uncultured bacterium. RNAcentral's name for it is "partial 16S ribosomal RNA". It matches the Rfam family "Bacterial small subunit ribosomal RNA", at positions 568 to 774 of the family's 1533-position model. The record is from RNAcentral.
CGCGUAGGCGAUUUGACAUGUCGGUUGUGAAAGCCCAGAGCUUAACUUUGGAAGAGCAACCGAAACUGUUGAAUUUGAGUACAGGAGAGGAAGGCAGAAUUCCCGGUGUAGCGGUGAAAUGCGUAGAUAUCGGGAGGAAUACCAGUGGCGAAGGCGGCCUUCUGGACUGGUUACUGACGCUGAGGCGCGAAAGCUAGGGGAGCAAACG